Non-coding RNA from Hordeum vulgare subsp. vulgare (domesticated barley), 98 nucleotides. The record is from Rfam. Lineage: Eukaryota; Viridiplantae; Streptophyta; Magnoliopsida; Poales; Poaceae.
AGGCAGCCUCUUUGCCAUUGCAGUGGCAUUGGAGGUGUUGCGUUGCUCGGAUAGUAAACCUUUUGCUGUUUGGAUUGGCUGAGAGGGUGGCUCCUGCU